CUAUAUAGACUGAACUCAACUCAACAAAGCCUUCAUCACAAUCUAGUUGCAGCCAACCUUAUGGAUUAUUUCCCUCCAAAAAAUAUUUCAAUCACGUUUAAUCUUGCACUCAGUAAAUGAUAUUAUCAUCAAAUUAACACACAUGUUAAAUAAUGCACCCACUUGUGGACGACAACAAAAGAUAACACCUUAGUGAAGAAGAGUUGGCCCAGAAGAUAAGAUAGAACAGAAGUGCUUGCUAUUGAUGCUUCAGAUUUUGAAUUGCAAUAAACUUCAGUUCUCAUGCUAUGUGCUUGACUUUAGAGAUGGAAAUUUUACCACAUCCCCACCAAUGGUAAAAGGGCAAGGAUGGGUUUGCGGUGCCCCAACCGCAACCCAAUUUUACCUGGGAAAUCCAAUAACUGCUAGAGUGUUGCCAUCACCCUUCCAUGCAGUUACUUUUCCAGAUUGCUAAACCUAAAGAAACAACUCCACACUAUCUCCACUAUGCACAUGACAGCAAGCAAUUAGAAACAAAAAUAUUAACGGGAGUGCAAAUAACCAACUGAGAACUCCAGGAUCAUUUUUGGCUCUUUCAAGAAAAUCAAUUACGAUUUUAAGGUGGGAAUACUCAAUGGGAUAAUUGACACGAAGAAUGGAUAAAAACCAAAUUAUUGGACCUACAAUUUUAAGUCUCUAUAAUUCAGGCACCAGCAUGUGACAUUUCUGCUUGACCUCAUUCUCUUUAUAAACCUUCUUUAUCAAUAGCAUGAGGGCAACAAAAACAAAACCCUCCUUUUUCAGUAUUAAAAGAGUAAAGCCUCUCUGCAAUUAAGAUAUAACAAAUGGCACAAGAUAAAAUCCAAAACUGUGAUCAGUUUGCACAAAUUCACAUAUGCAAAUAACAAUACCAAUAAGAACUAUUAAGGAAUUGCAAGUAACAAAAUUCCACAACAAGGAUUCCAUAUCUCAAAACUUAUAUCACUCAAUAAAUGCAGCCAUCCAGUAUCCAGAUCGAACCAAUACCACCGAGUAAGUAAGGUUAUAUU
RNAcentral lists this unclassified non-coding RNA (1028 nucleotides) under Hevea brasiliensis (rubber tree). Lineage: Eukaryota; Viridiplantae; Streptophyta; Magnoliopsida; Malpighiales; Euphorbiaceae. The record is from RNAcentral.